Molecule: non-coding RNA, 2303 nt
Organism: Cyanistes caeruleus (blue tit)
Lineage: Eukaryota; Metazoa; Chordata; Aves; Passeriformes; Paridae
Source: RefSeq, a predicted model, not a curated record
UGCUGAGUCAUCUCGGGGUGGCUCCAGCCCCUUGGCCAGUCACUCCUGAUUAACACUGAUGCAAACGAGUGCCGGGCGGGCCCUCACUGCUCACUGAAACCACAGGCAGAGGAGCCAAAGCCUUCGUAAGUGAGGAGCUCCCAGCCAAGGAGCCAUGUGGUGCUCUCACCUUGGCUGAGGUGCUGCAACACGUUCCAGCCUCCAAGUUGGGAAGCAGCUACCAGUUACUGCCCGGGGGAAGAUGAAAGCCCAUAAGAUGCCAUGGAGAGUCAUGGAAGCAGCAGUGAGGCAAUGGUUCCCUUCUGUUCAGCAGCCACAAGGAUGGUGUGAAUGGAAGAUGAAGCCAAAGGUGAGACUGAAGCAGUCUAGCCCUUACCUGGGAGGGAUUGUGUUUGAGAUUCUGCUAGAGGCACCAGCUUGCUGUAAUGUCUGCACGUGACCUCUUCCAAAGGGUGUGAAGAAUGGGGAUGCUGCUGGUCCCAGCCACUCAGAAUCUUCUGUCUGCCCAUGGGAUACUGGGAAGGAGACACAGAUUUGCUGUAACUCUCAUUUAUUUGGGCCAGUGAUGAGGUAGAGCGAAAGAGAGCACAAACACAGGCCCUGUCCCAUGGAGCAGACCAGAUUUCCAAAUCCCUGUCUGCUACCAGGAGAACAGGGCUGAGAAAUGCUCUGCUGACCUGCUGGAGAUCAUGGCCCCUUGUGCAGCAGGGCCCCAAUGGAGGCAGGAGGUGAGGGUGACAGAGGCAUCCAGCCGUGGGACCAUAUCCUUCUCCUCACCACACCUGAUAUCACUGCAAGCCAUGGCCCCACUGCCAGCAGCGGCACCACCAAACACCGAAUCCUCCCCCUUCCUCUCCCAUCUGUGGAAGGACCAGGGCAUGCUGAAGCCACUGCUGUUGGUGGCACCACCUGGUGCAGGGGGCAGCCUGGCCAAGCUCCUGGCUCAGCUUCAUCCCCACUGGAGUGAAGAACAGAGACACAGCAUGACUCAGCAACAUGGAGAGGAGCUGCUGCUCCCACCUGGCUGGUACAUGCAGGGGGACAGUGGGGCUGGAGGCCCUGGGUCUCCCCACCCCAUCCCUGCUCUCCCCCAUGCAGCAAAGGAGCCUGAAUGGAUGGCGUGGGUCAGCCCUGAACAGCUGGGGAUGUGCCACCACCCUGCCUUCACAGAGCAGGUGCCAAACAACUUGCUUUAUCAGGAGCCAGGAGAGCAGGAAGAAGCAGGGGAGCACACAUCCUCCCUCUGACCCAUGUGGCCUGACGUGAUCCCAUGUGGCCAUGCUACCCAUGGGGCCAGCUCCAGCAGAAAUGGUCUCCCCCUCUCUCUUUGGGUCCCGUGGGAGUAGCUGCUGUGUGACUGCUGGCUCUGCUCAGAGGAUGGCUGGUCUCUUGCUCUUGGCCAGCAUGGGGCAACUCACUGCCUCCCAGCCAUGCCAGGACAGAGCUGAGUCCUCACUCUCCUCCUUGAGGUGGCCGGAGCUGCCAGGGUGGGGCUGCUGAUGAGCUGGCAUCAGUGCCAGCAGAUCGUGGGCAGAGGCUGCUGGCUCCGCAUGGUUUGUGCAAAUGAGACGCUGCCUUUGCUGGUGGCAUGCUGGCGCUGGGGCGGAUGUGACUGUCCUUGUGCAGGCAGGUCUGUGCUUGCUGCCCUCGGUCCACAGCAAAAGCCCGGUACUUUCUCAGGGCAGCUCCCUCGACCCACCCGAGGGCUGGAGCUGGAAUGGUCUGGGCUUGCCACAGCUUCGUGGAAGCUCAGCAGUGCUGGCUGUGGGAAUGGCUGAGGGGCCAGGUUGUGUUUGGCAGCCACAGGUGAUGCUGCACCCUGAGCAGAUGUGGCCUCAUGGCCUCUAGAGGUGACUGCUACCAAGCAAUGUGCACACUGAUCUGCAGGAUGUAGGAUGAAGAAUAAGGACCAUGGGGCUGGCAUCUUCCCCAUCCUAAGUGAAGGGGCAGCACGGAUGCCUGCUCAGAUGUUCCUGCCAAAAUGAAGACUAAACAGAGCCUUUCCCCUGCUUGGUGACACCAGUUCAGGUCCCUUUGGAUCCUUCCUCCAUCUACUGAGGGGAUUCUCCAGGCAGAAAACUCAACUGGGAUUGACUGGGGGUGCCAUGAGGACAGUUUAUUGCUCUCCAGAUUUUCUUCUCGUUGAAAUUCUUUGGCAAACACAACCUGAGUUUGCAGGUAACAGCAGGGUGGCCAAACCACAUACUCCCAGUCAGCCAGAGCCUGGGUCUGACUCUCCUAUAAAGCCUUGUGAGAGGUCUGUGGUCACAGAAAGAGGAGGUAAUAGAAGUGCCAGCUCUUGA